UACAGAGGGUGCAAACGUUGUUCGGAAUUACUGGGCAUAAAGAGCACGUAGGCGGCUCAUUAAGUCACGCGUGAAAUCCCCCGGCUCAACCGGGGAACUGCGCCUGAUACUGGUGGGCUAGAGGACGGUAGGGGUGAGUGGAACUCUAGGUGGAGCGGUGAAAUGCGUAGAUAUCUAGAGGAACACCGGUGGCGAAAGCGGCUCACUGGACCGUAACUGACGCUGAGGUGCGAAAGCUAGGGUAGCAAACGGG
This 253-nucleotide ribosomal RNA is filed under the name uncultured bacterium. RNAcentral's name for it is "partial 16S ribosomal RNA". It matches the Rfam family "Bacterial small subunit ribosomal RNA", at positions 524 to 776 of the family's 1533-position model. The record is from RNAcentral.